This 336-nucleotide unclassified non-coding RNA is filed under the name soil metagenome. Its description in RNAcentral is "partial contains 5.8S ribosomal RNA, internal transcribed spacer 2, and large subunit ribosomal RNA". The stretch from base 1 to 120 matches the Rfam family "5.8S ribosomal RNA", at positions 35 to 154 of the family's 154-position model. The record is from RNAcentral.
GAUGAAGAACGCAGCGAAAUGCGAUAAGUAAUGUGAAUUGCAGAAUUCAGUGAAUCAUCGAAUCUUUGAACGCACAUUGCGCCCGCCAGUAUUCUGGCGGGCAUGCCUGUUCGAGCGUCAUUUCAACCAUCAAACCCCCGGCUUGUGUUGGGGACCUGCGGCUGCCGCAGGCCCUGAAAAGCAGUGGCGGGCUCGCUGUCACACCGAGCGUAGUAGCAUACAUCUCGCUCUGGGCGUGCUGCGGGUUCCGGCCGUUAAACCACCUUCAUAACCCAAGGUUGACCUCGGAUCAGGUAGGAAGACCCGCUGAACUUAAGCAUAUCAAUAAGCGGAGGA